This 1460-nucleotide long non-coding RNA is filed under the name Struthio camelus australis. RNAcentral's name for it is "lncRNA (ENSSCUG00000005867.1)". Lineage: Eukaryota; Metazoa; Chordata; Aves; Struthioniformes; Struthionidae. The record is from RNAcentral.
GGUUGCCCGCCCCGCUGCCGGGCCGGGGUCCUCAGCGGCGAGCAGCCUCCCGGCGGCGGCAGAGCCCCCCUGUAGCAAUAGAGUAAGCAAAAAGAUGCCACCGUCAGAGGGCUGCAAGCUGUGGUUGAAAUGUCCUCUACUUUUCUGUUGACCUCAGCUGGAUGUGUGCCCCCGCAUCUGCAUGGAAGAGAAGAGCACGCAGAACGGAAAGCGUUCCACUUCCUCGGCAAGCUAACAACACUGCCGCAAAAAGGCCAGGGAAGGACAAGCCCCUUCUCCCAAAACACAGCAGAAACUGGUCAACGUAGCAAAGAAUUGGAGUACGCCCUGAAAGAUGCUAGCGCCUCACUUAGAUGAUAGAGCGCCGUGCUGGCUUUUACUUAACGAAGCACAGCUGCCCUGUGCAAAAGAAACAAAGAAACAGUCUUCUGAUGAGUCUGAUUCAGAUUCUAAAUUUGAGGAUGAACCAACGGAGGAAGAAAACCGGAAUGAGACAGCCAGUACAGAAAUUCAAGAGGAGAUGCAACCAAGUGGAUCCAUGGGAAAACUGAGGCCCAAACCUGCUUAUUUGAGUUCAAAACCAAAAAGUCAAAAGCAGAGUCUUUUUACUGCAAUCUCGGACAACUGGACUCGGAGCCAGCAGAUAAGAUCCUCCCGCUUUGAGAAAAGUGUCCUCUGUAACACCGUGAUGCUAUUGUGCACCAUGCUUUCUUCUCUCAUCUGGAAUUUUGUCUGCCAGUUGCUCCAGAUCUCUAAUGUCCUGAAGAUUCAACUGCUGCCAACUUCUCUGAUUAUCUACGUGGUUCAGCUUUUCAUUUUUCUGGCUGAAAAAGUUGUGAAAAUCCUGGGCUCCUUGACGCUAGAAACCAGAGGGCUGUCAGCUUCUAUCCUAGGGAGGAAACGUAAGAAAACUGGAAUGGAGUGAUGAAGCUCAAACGGAAAACUACAGCAGGGUGGAAAUAAAGCAGAACCCACCUUUUCAGCACACCUGACAAGCUGAUGUAAGGUUAGAUCACACCCCAGAAAGGCAGUCAGCAGCAGCUUUGUUCAACCAGUCGAUGGGACCGGAAGAAAGCUGGAGGGACUGGGACAAGCCAAGGUUUUGUGCCAUCACUGUUGAUCCAGUGAUAAGGCUAUAACCAGAACGGCUGUUUGCUCCUUGCACUGAUGCACGCGUUUCACUAACUUUUAAAAAGAGGAGCUAACGAUAGGAAGUCACAUUCCAAAAAGCACAUUGCUGCUUGAGAACGCCUUUGUCUCCGCUUCUCAUGUGAAGUAAGGGUGGAAAGACUGUGUAAGUUACACCAACCUGUGCUAAUUAUGAAGCACGUCUUGUUUGUGUUUACUUGCCUUUCCCUCCCCAUCCCCUGAAGUCUGCACGUCCAAAUAUUUGCACGUCCAAAUAUUUGUCCAGAAUAGCAUGCUUUUAAAUAAAACUUGUUUACCCCUUUAUUUUUGCA